Molecule: ribosomal RNA, 246 nt
Filed under: uncultured bacterium
Lineage: Bacteria
Description: partial 16S ribosomal RNA
Rfam family: Bacterial small subunit ribosomal RNA
Source: RNAcentral
UACGCAGGGUGCAAGCGUUAAUCGGAAUUACUGGGCGUAAAGCGUGCGCAGGCGGUUUUGUAAGACAGGCGUGAAAUCCCCGGGCUCAACCUGGGAACUGCGUUUGUGACUGAAUAGCUAGAGUGCGGCAGAGGGGGGUAGAAUUCCACGUGUAGCAGUGAAAUGCGUAGAGAUGUGGAGGAAUACCGAUGGCGAAGGCAGCCCCCUGGGUCAGCACUGACGCUCAUGCACGAAAGCGUGGGGAGG